GGAAUAUUGGACAAUGGGCGCAAGCCUGAUCCAGCCAUGCCGCGUGAGUGAUGAAGGUCUUAGGAUUGUAAAGCUCUUUCACCGGGGACGAUAAUGACGGUACCCGGAGAAGAAGCCCCGGCUAACUUCGUGCCAGCAGCCGCGGUAAUACGAAGGGGGCUAGCGUUGUUCGGAAUUACUGGGCGUAAAGCGCACGUAGGCGGAUUGUUAAGUCGGGGGUGAAAUCCCGGGGCUCAACCCCGGAACUGCCUUCGAUACUGGCAAUCUAGAGUCCGGAAGAGGUGAGUGGAAUUCCGAGUGUAGAGGUGAAAUUCGUAGAUAUUCGGAGGAACACCAGUGGCGAAGGCGGCUCACUGGUCCGGUACUGACGCUGAGGUGCGAAAGCGUGGGGAGCAAAC
Molecule: ribosomal RNA, 398 nt
Filed under: uncultured bacterium
Lineage: Bacteria
Description: bacterial SSU rRNA
Rfam family: Bacterial small subunit ribosomal RNA
Source: RNAcentral